UAUUGUUGUGUGAACGUGCUUCCGAUU
Molecule: non-coding RNA, 27 nt
Filed under: Mus musculus (house mouse)
Lineage: Eukaryota; Metazoa; Chordata; Mammalia; Rodentia; Muridae
Source: RNAcentral